AAUCAUGUCAUCUUCUAACAGAAUCAGUCAUUAUUGAAAAUAGUGGAUAAUUGAGAUGUUUUUUACCAGUGGAAUGAGGUCGAUUUGGCAACAGUGGAGGAAAAGUCCAUUACCAGAAUGAAGAACUCUUCCUCCAACAGAUAUUCCAGCUGUCUCCUAUUUAACUGCCAAACCAGCAAGUUUCCCACCUGCCAUCCUGUUCCAUGUAACAAGUUUUCAAAGCUUUAAAUCAGAGAAAUUCAAGCUAGAUUAGGAGCCCUGCACCAAUCUGGGACACAAGAGUGACACAAGUCCCCUAAUUACUGGGUGGAGGCAGCAACAGGCAGCUGCUGUUACCAGUGGGAUGGUGUUACCCUGGCAACUGCUCUGCCCAACUCCUGCCCUCCCAGUGCCAACUGCAGUCGUCAUAGAAACUGGUGUCACUGCUGAUGUGGAACAAAAGCUGGGAAACUGCAGCAAGUGCCUUCUGAACCAUUCAGUCCCCUUCUCCCACCCUGCCUUCUACAUGCACAGGCCGACCA
This is a long non-coding RNA of Pezoporus occidentalis (night parrot), 521 nucleotides long. RefSeq lists it as uncharacterized. NCBI's taxonomy places the organism in Eukaryota, Metazoa, Chordata, Aves, Psittaciformes, Psittacidae. The transcript has 3 exons. The record is from RefSeq and is a predicted model, not a curated record.